Molecule: ribosomal RNA, 253 nt
Filed under: uncultured bacterium
Lineage: Bacteria
Description: partial 16S ribosomal RNA
Rfam family: Bacterial small subunit ribosomal RNA
Source: RNAcentral
UACGUAGGGUGCAAGCGUUGUCCGGAAUUAUUGGGCGUAAAGGGCGCGUAGGCGGCCACGCACGUCCGUUGUGAAAUCGCCCGGCUCAACUGGGCGGGGUCAGCGGAUACGGCGCGGCUGGAGCAAGCUAGGGGGCAAUGGAAUUCCCGGUGUAGUGGUGGAAUGCGUAGAUAUCGGGAGGAACACCAGUGGCGAAGGCGGUUGCCUGGAGCUUUGCUGACGCUGAGGCGCGAAAGCGUGGGGAGCGAUCCGG